Molecule: RNA transcript, 1215 nt
Organism: Vespa crabro (European hornet)
Lineage: Eukaryota; Metazoa; Arthropoda; Insecta; Hymenoptera; Vespidae
Exons: 4
Source: RefSeq, a predicted model, not a curated record
UUUUCUUUUACGUGUGUGUGUGUGUGUGUAUUUUCGUGUACACGUACAGACUUAUACACGUUUGCAUUAUCAAUAUACAAAUAAAUUCGAUUAAAAAUUAAACACGCUUCUUGACAAUAACGUGUUAUGCUUUUUAUCAAUUUUAUAUACGUACAUCGUAUGUGUGUACACACAUAAACAGACACACACACGUAACUUAUAUACGUGACUGUGUAAUACGUGUACGAACUUUAUUUGUUUUUCAAGUGAGUCGUCACACCAACAGCUAUCCAAUGAAUAUCGCUGAUGUAAGAAGCUAAAUUCGUAGACCUGACCUGUGACAACGAUAUGUGACUAACGGAGGACACCCGGUAGAUAUAUUUUGUUAAGCAGAACAUCCAUUAUCCUAUUUUUUACUGGGCCUGGAGCGCCAUCGAUGAUCGGUGGUACUAUACUUUGUGGACCUUACUAAAAACGUUUUUAAAACUUGUUUUUCUUCUUUCUUUUUCAUUUUCUUUUUUUUUCUAUUUAUAAAUGUCUAAAAGGAUAACUUUUUAUCGCGAGUAAAGUCUAAUAUACUAAAAAAAAAAAGAAAAGAACAGAAAAAGAAAGAAAGAAAGGAGAACGAAAAAACUUAUGAAGACUUCUUAUCUAAGAGGGACAUUAUUCGAAGAUCACAAAGAUCAAAAUCCAAAAUCUAAUGGAAGACAAAGAAAGGGCUAAUGCACUAUAAUCGUAUUAAAUCUGAUGAAUACUCGCCGAACUUGACCCUUGUCAGCAUCAUGAAUGAUUCAGUUAGCGGACGUUGGCUGAUGGGUCAGAAUUGUUGUAACGGGAAGUUCAAUCAAACACCGUUUGACGUAACCAAUGCACCGUGACAUAAAGCUCGGCUUUAGUUUACAAACCGGAUCGAGAGAUGGGAGUAUUUCGUUGUGGGCACCAUAAUAUAUAGUAGUUGUGUAACGUGAUCUCAAUCGUAGAGUAACGGAGGAUCGUAUGUCGGUGGUGGAGGAUGCCUGGCAUUGGCACCAAUAGCAGUGACUUCGAAAAAGUAGGUUUCUGGAGCGACAGCUGCACCAAUGAUACCCGGCAAACGAUAAUAACAACAAUGACAACGCGAUAACAUUCGAAUAUGGUCCUGGAAAUAUUUUUCAUGUUGACUAAGGUCAUCCUUCAUUGAGAACAUUUUAUUAUCAAUAUACAUGAAUAACAAAGAGUUUUCAUUUCUCUAUUCCU